Molecule: long non-coding RNA, 756 nt
Organism: Brassica napus (rape)
Lineage: Eukaryota; Viridiplantae; Streptophyta; Magnoliopsida; Brassicales; Brassicaceae
Exons: 2
Source: RefSeq, a predicted model, not a curated record
AACAUAAUUCAAUUAACUGUACCCUAGCCUCCUCUCUCCUUUUAACAUUCUCUCUUUGCCUUUUUGAUUUAGAUCCAAGCAAAAGGAAAUAUGUCUUCGGCGCCGUCGUCUCCUGGGACUGAUUAGCCACCAUCUCCACCAUCAAACUCCACAACCACCACACCCUCUUCUUCUCCUCCGCCGCCACCCACUAUUCCCACGUUUCCUCCUCUGUCUUCUUCCUCUACACCUUAUGCUCUUCAUCCAUCUCCACCCACUCUAUCUACGCCGGGAUUUUCACCUCCUCUUCCUCAGCCGUCUCCACCCUCUCCAACUACACCGGAAUCUCCUCCUGCACCUAUCACUCCUCCUGGAUCCCCUAUUCUAAACUCCAUCAUCCUCAGGACCACCGUUGCGGCAGAGGACUUCCUCGAACUCCAUCUUUGCCGUCUCCGCCGUCUUCUUCUUCCGAUGGAUUAUCAGCAAGAGUGGUGAUCGGAAUCGCCAUCCGAAGAGUCGCUCUGCUUGUAAGAAGAAACGAAGAAGAGACGAAGAAGAUACUUACUACGUUCCUCUUCCACCUCCUCCGGAUCCCAAAGCCGGAGGACCUUACAGUGGACAACAGCAACAAUGGCGGCAACAAAACGCAACACCACCGUCAGUUCAUGUCGUGACGUCACUACCACUUCCACACAUCAUAUCAUGUUCUAUAUUGGUACGGGCUUGAUAAUGCAAAAAACUCAGACAAAAUAAGAAGACAGCCCAUCAGAUUGGGGG